UGUUAGUAGUCGCGCGCGGACGUAUUCCACAUCAUGGCUUCUGCCAAAUAUGCAUUUUUUUCUGAAACGAAUGUUGGUGUUGACACAACAUAGCUGGUAAAACGAAAGACACAAGACAGGACUUGCUCCUUGCAGCAAGCUAUCGCAAAAAGGCUGUGGUGAGUUGCGUGACCGCUGCAUGACCUCAUUACGUUAUGUGAGGCCCGCAGCAAAACGCUAACAACAUGCUCAUGUAGAAUAAUCGUUACACAUAAGCAUUCCUAUCGCUCGAAGAGUAAACGCGAACUAAAUCAUAACAAUAAUAAUGGGUUUUCACACUGUCUGGUACUAUAAGACUUUGAUAUUGGUAAGUGAUACAAUUCACUUCACUAUUUGUUACGUUUGCUUGCGUGCGCUAGCUGACAUCAAACAUGGCGCGCUGGCGCGGCUUGGAGCUUGCUACUGGAGGUGCGCGGAUCGGAGCUGAUCGGGCCAGUCAGUAAAAAAUAACAAUGCUGUGUCAGAUUAUACUUUAUUUUUUAUCUCAUAUCUUGGUACAUAUGUGAACAAGACAAUUUUACCUCACCUUGACGGCGGUCCUUCAGUCGAAACGGAGCUUGAUGUUGUGGUAGAACGCUAUCGACAGGCACGUUGGCUUUAUUUACUUGGCUGCAUUAAAGCUUCAAACAGUGGCUAGUGACUGAAAAUUACCAUCACACUACAGUGAGUGAUGUUAUCUAGUGUUGAAACCAUAUAGUCCUAGCCCAUGGGUGAUUAUUUAGUCUCCAUUCUAGGGUAGUCUGGCCAGUUUUCCGACCCGAAAGCCCGGUGGAUAGUAGUUGUUGACUUGGGGAUUAGCCGCUUCACGCUCGAUUGACAGAAGCAGCAUCAAAAACAGCGGGCUGGUAGUCCUCAAGCACCGGGGAGACCAGGCCUAGGGCUGCCAGCCAAGGAUCAUCUGGGGGUAAUUAUCGCGAUACCAGCUAUCGGGAUCCCCGGGUUUAAACAUAUGCACCAACUAAUCAACAAUAAUACCACAACCGGCUAACUGACAGCUCUUCAGGUACCCGGUAGGACAGACUUAGGCAGUAAAGCGGACUUUUACGGAUUCCCCUCCGCAAACGGAAAUUUUUUUAAUAGUUGUUAACGCGCGAGUUAGUUGAGUUGAUUUCUACACCCAUAUUGUUCCUCGGUAACACGACUGAAGUUCGUCUAAAUGGAGAGUCUGAUAGGGACAUGAACGUCACUGCCGGCAGUCCCGGCGCACUUUGUUUCUUAGGGCGAUCUACAGAAGUAAGUUUGACCGUCCUAAGCGGAGAGAAAUUCAACCUAGACAUACAUUGCUAUGGGCCAGUGCGCUGUACGCAGUUUUGCGUCUUGCUUUAUUUGACUUUGGUUUAGUUUUUUGUUGUAUGAUUGUGCUAGUAUUGACUGCAUUGCCGUUGCAUACACAGUUCGCUUUGGUCUAGUAUGAUCCGAUUGUUUUUUGAAUGGCUGUUGGAUUUUAUCCUUGUCGUAUUUUAUUUUAGUUCUCUAUUUUUUUUCUUUGCUUAUGUCCUAUCCCCGCUAUAGUGGGCUUUCAAUUGUCCAAACAUCCAACACACCCAUCUAACUUCACUGAACCAGCCCCCACUGAGCCAGAGGCACAGUCCCCGAAGUCUGGGUUUCCAAGAGGCUGGACAGCUGUAAAAACAGACCUGACUAACAAACCCUGAGUAAGUUGGAUGUUCUGCCAAAAGCCAAACAAUAAACAUCGAUGCCAUCAAUGAUGUGUCACGAUUUGCUCUGCCACCAAUGGUAACUAUUCAUCGUAUAUAUUCACAAUAUUGUUGGGGGGACCUCCUUGUAUGAUCAAGAUGUUGACUUUCUCGACCAGAGUAUGACACUUCUCUAUCGGAGGUGUCCAUCUAUUGAUAUGGUCUGCACCAGUAUAGGCGUUGAUUGAUGUUCGCCUUAUCUCACGAGCUUCUGUACAGGAAAUACAAAUGAAGAACCAAGAUUAGUUGUGCAAACAUCUUUUUUUUUUGCCAGUUGACGCGAUAGAUACGUCUUCAAGUUGGUCUGGCAAUAGCUGGUAUUUAUUAAGCCAACAGAGAGAACUGGAGACAGCUGAUACUCAUGGUCAAUAAACACUUAAAUACAUAAAGACGUCUUCCAUGGUUUGGAAACACAUUAAAACAAUGUAAAACGCAAAUAAGUUGUGUGAUAUAUUCAACGAGAUCGAGAAUAUUGCCAAGUAGACCGAUCCGGUCCGCCAACACGUAAACAAGAUAAUCCAUCACAGAUGUCAGCCGCGGCCGGCCUCACAUUAUCAAUUUUUUUUUUUUUUUUUCAGACAAUUGCAAACGAAAAACGAGUGAAUAUCAUCAAGAUAGUACAAGACCCUGGAUAGCAUCAUAAACGAGAAGUUCGGGACAAAACCUGAGGGUAUGGACAAACUGACGUGUUGGUUGCGAGACACAUUCCAAACGUUGCCUUACACAACAUGGCGUGGAUAUGACAGAAUCUGCCAAGAAUUCGUCAACACAGGCAUACGGGCAACCAAAAUUUUAAAAGUAUUCUUCCUACAUAAUAACAAAAAUAAAUUACAUCAAAAGACUAUUUGCCAGGGAAAAUGCCAAAUUACUGUCUUUGUACUGUCCAGGAAGCACCCACCUCUCGCCACCGCCCUUCACCAAAUGAAGCUGUGUAACUGUGCGACGGGAAAUACUGUACAUAUCCAUCCGCCGUCAAACUUGCUUGCUGUAUAGCAGCAAAUAAUUAAUCGUAAACAGCUAAUUUUUGUUUUAAUUAUUAGGCACGUAUUAAACCAAAGCAGAAAAUGACGCCAAUGAUCUAAAACUAAGCUCUAAUUCGAUGAAUGUCUCCUCAUUGUGUGGACUAUUUUCUGGCGGCACUUGUGUACAUCCUGUCCGAGGAGGGUAUUCGGUGGCGUGGGGUAGCGAGGCUCACAAAGGGUUUGUCAAAACGAGGUCAUCUGUCAUUAUUGUAGCUGGUUACGAGGAAGAUAUAGAGACCAAAGUCUUCAGUCUGAACGAAGGGUUUCGGGGAAGGUUUUCCCGAUACUAUCCACUCAACUUCAGCGCAUUGACAGUUGAGGUAAGACAAAUUCAAAUGGUUCUACUGUAUACAUGUGAUUUUGAGACUUGUCUUCAAGGUAGGUCUUGACCUAUCAAACAUAAAUGACUAGAUUUCAGACCCCCAUCGACUUUCCUUGGUUAUGCACAAGAACAUACUGCUUCAAUAUUUCUUGUUCUUUUUUGGGCAAGGCAAAUGCGUCUUACUCUCGUAAAUAAGUGGUGUAGCUAAUGAUAAUGAUUGCAGUUUAUUGCAUUGGAUGAUAACAUUAUGAAAGUAAUUAUUCCACUACCUAAAAAUUGUAUUGCCACAAAUACAUGUACAUAUACAUGCACGCAAUAGCCAUUUCAUUAUCACCACUCUCUCUUUUAUUAGCAACUGGAAGAGAUCCUGGUAGAAAAGAUCAGAGCGGGUGGAUACGAUCGCAAAGACUACGAUAGAGACUCCAUGCUGGCUGCCAUCGAAGAGAUUCCGGCAGAUUACAGAGGAAAGCACAAUGCCCGUCUCAUAAACAGACUGCUGGUAGGCGCCAACACCCGUGACGAAGGAAAGUCAACAAACCUGCUUGUCACUUUGGAGCAUGUGCCUCAGUUCCUGCGAAAGUACAACUACAUCAAUGACCUGUCCCGUGAAAGUGUUGAGCAGAAAAGCCACACACGCAACAGGAGGUUCCACCAUUGGCAGGAUGAACAGACUACUCAAAAGAGCAGACACAGACGGGGAUGUACAGCGGGAGACAGACCACCAUCACAAAGCUGACACGACUGCAGAUGUCCAUACUGUGGUGGAGCAGUAUGCUCAGAUAGAAGUAUUCCUUCGCCAACCAGAAAAAGCGUAUGGUUGUUUGUUUCCCUAACUUCAAAGGGAGUGUCCUGUCAGCGAAAGUAAACGCACGCAAACAAGUAGUGUGGAUGAGAUUACUUUUCCCUAGUAACAAAAACCUGAAGGGAAGGUUUCCAGAUACCGUCUUGCUGUCAGCAUUCAAAAUCUUCAACCCAGACGAAGCCGAAGAUAACCACUAGCAUAGAUUAGAGGUAUAUCUAGCAUAGUUUUCACCUUGUAGUCAAAGCCAUGUGUGGUUCCUUCAGUUCUGGUUUUAGACAUAGGGGUAAUUCCAUAAAUGCAAUUCAUACAUCUCUCAAUGGUUUAUUUUCCAGCUCCUCUGUGAGCAUUAUGCAGAUGAAGUGGAAGAGCUGGAGGAGGUUGAGAGCAAACACAGCGUCUUGGCAGGUGUGCUGAAAACUCACUACAACGACCUGACCACAACUGAAAUCCUGCGAAAGGUACUGAAAGUGCAUGGCGACACCAUGCCCAACCUGGCCAAGUUGGCAGCAGCAGCUGUCAUACCCGUGUCAACAGCAGGUAUGUGGACUUGGCUGGCUUGCCUAGAUAACAUAAUUGAUUUGAUUGUGGAUACAGUUUUU
Branchiostoma floridae (Florida lancelet) is the source of this 4481-nucleotide long non-coding RNA. RefSeq lists it as uncharacterized. The record is from RefSeq and is a predicted model, not a curated record. The transcript has 3 exons. NCBI's taxonomy places the organism in Eukaryota, Metazoa, Chordata, Leptocardii, Amphioxiformes, Branchiostomatidae.